Molecule: ribosomal RNA, 253 nt
Filed under: uncultured bacterium
Lineage: Bacteria
Description: partial 16S ribosomal RNA
Rfam family: Bacterial small subunit ribosomal RNA
Source: RNAcentral
UACGUAGGGGGCAAGCGUUGUUCGGAAUUACUGGGCGUAAAGGGCGCGUAGGCGGCCCGGCAAGUCGGGAGUGAAAGCCCGGGGCUCAACCCCGGAACGUCUUUCGAAACUGCCGAGCUAGAGUGCGGAAGGGGCAACUGGAAUUCCCAGUGUAGCGGUGAAAUGCGUAGAUAUUGGGAAGAACACCUGAGGCGAAGGCGGGUUGCUGGGCCGACACUGACGCUGAGGCGCGAAAGCCAGGGGAGCGAACGGG